Molecule: microRNA, 21 nt
Filed under: Gallus gallus (chicken)
Lineage: Eukaryota; Metazoa; Chordata; Aves; Galliformes; Phasianidae
Description: gga-miR-1718
Source: miRBase by way of RNAcentral
ACUAAGGACAGAGGAACGGAG